RNAcentral lists this ribosomal RNA (467 nucleotides) under uncultured bacterium. RNAcentral's name for it is "partial 16S ribosomal RNA". It matches the Rfam family "Bacterial small subunit ribosomal RNA", at positions 28 to 507 of the family's 1533-position model. The record is from RNAcentral.
GACGAACGCUGGCGGCGUGCUUAACACAUGCAAGUCGAACGGAAAGGCCUCUUUCGGGGGGUACUCGAGUGGCGAACGGGUGAGUAACACGUGAGUAACCUGCUCUUGACUUUGGGAUAACUUCAGGAAACUGGGGCUAAUACCGGAUAGGAGCUCCUGCUGCAUGGUGGGGGUUGGAAAGUUUCGGCGGUUGGGGAUGGACUCGCGGCUUAUCAGCUUGUUGGUGGGGUAGUGGCUUACCAAGGCUUUGACGGGUAGCUGGCCCGAGAGGGUGACCGGCCACAUUGGGACUGAGGUACGGCCCAGACGCCUACGGGAGGCAGCAGUGGGGAAUAUUGCACAAGGGGUGGAAGCCUGAUGCAGCAGCGCCGUGUGCGGGAUGACGGCCUUCGGGUGGUAAACCGCUUUCGCUCAUGACGAAGCUUUGUGUGACGGUAGUGGGUAAAGAAGCACCGGCUAACUACGUG